This 365-nucleotide ribosomal RNA is filed under the name uncultured bacterium. RNAcentral's name for it is "bacterial SSU rRNA". It matches the Rfam family "Bacterial small subunit ribosomal RNA", at positions 976 to 1337 of the family's 1533-position model. The record is from RNAcentral.
UGGUCUUGACAUCCCGAAAAAGCCCUAGAAAUAGGGAAGUGCUCUCUUUGAGAGAAUUUGGUGACAGGUGCUGCAUGGCUGUCGCCAGCUCGUGUCGUGAGAUGUUGGGUUAAGUCCCGCAACGAGCGCAACCCUCGCCAUUAGUUGCCAGCAUUAAGUUGGGCACUCUAAUGGGACUGCCGGUGUCAAACCGGAGGAAGGUGGGGAUGACGUCAAGUCCUCAUGGCCUUUAUGUCCAGGGCUACACACGUACUACAAUGGUCGGUACAAAGGGCAGCUACUUAGCGAUAAGAUGCUAAUCCCAUAAAACCGGUCUCAGUCCGGAUUGGAGUCUGCAACUCGACUCCAUGAAGUUGGAAUCGCUA